This 1084-nucleotide ribosomal RNA is filed under the name uncultured bacterium. Its description in RNAcentral is "bacterial SSU rRNA". It matches the Rfam family "Bacterial small subunit ribosomal RNA", at positions 8 to 1105 of the family's 1533-position model. The record is from RNAcentral.
AGAGUUUGAUUAUGGCUCAGGAUGAACGCUGGCGGCGUGCUUAACACAUGCAAGUCGAACGGAAAGGCCACAGCUUGCUGUGGUACUCGAGUGGCGAACGGGUGAGUAACACGUGGGUGAUCUGCCCUGUACUUCGGGAUAAGCUUGGGAAACUGGGUCUAAUACCGGAUAUGACCACUUUUUGGAUGGGGUGGUGGAAAGCUUUUGCGGUAUGGGAUGAGCUCGCGGCCUAUCAGCUUGUUGGUGGGGUAAUGGCCUACCAAGGCGUCGACGGGUAGCCGGCCUGAGAGGGUGUACGGCCACAUUGGGACUGAGAUACGGCCCAGACUCCUACGGGAGGCAGCAGUGGGGAAUAUUGCACAAUGGGCGCAAGCCUGAUGCAGCGACGCCGCGUGGGGGAUGACGGCCUUCGGGUUGUAAACUCCUUUCGUCAGGGACGAAGCGUAAGUGACGGUACCUGGAUAAGAAGCACCGGCUAACUACGUGCCAGCAGCCGCGGUAAUACGUAGGGUGCGAGCGUUGUCCGGAAUUACUGGGCGUAAAGAGCUCGUAGGUGGUUUGUCGCGUCGUUUGUGUAAGUCCACGGCUUAACUGUGGGAUGGCAGGCGAUACGGGCAUAACUUGAGUGCUGUAGGGGAGACUGGAAUUCCUGGUGUAGCGGUGAAAUGCGCAGAUAUCAGGAGGAACACCGAUGGCGAAGGCAGGUCUCUGGGCAGUAACUGACGCUGAGGAGCGAAAGCAUGGGUAGCGAACAGGAUUAGAUACCCUGGUAGUCCAUGCCGUAAACGGUGGGCGCUAGGUGUGAGUCCCUUCCACGGGGUUCGUGCCGUAGCUAACGCAUUAAGCGCCCCGCCUGGGGAGUACGGCCGCAAGGCUAAAACUCAAAGGAAUUGACGGGGGCCCGCACAAGCGGCGGAGCAUGUGGAUUAAUUCGAUGCAACGCGAAGAACCUUACCUGGGCUUGACAUACACCAGAUCGGCGCAGAGAUGCGUUUUCCCUUGUGGUUGGUGUACAGGUGGUGCAUGGUUGUCGUCAGCUCGUGUCGUGAGAUGUUGGGUUAANUCCCGCAACGAGCGCAACCCU